This 522-nucleotide ribosomal RNA is filed under the name uncultured Orbiliaceae. RNAcentral's name for it is "LSU rRNA". It matches the Rfam family "Eukaryotic large subunit ribosomal RNA", at positions 102 to 641 of the family's 3401-position model. Lineage: Eukaryota; Fungi; Ascomycota; Orbiliomycetes; Orbiliales. The record is from RNAcentral.
CAACAGCUCAAAUUUGAAAUCUGGAGCCUUCGGCUUCCGAGUUGUAAUUUGAAGAGGAUGUUUCGGUGCGGCCUGGGCCUAAGUUCCUUGGAACAGGACGUCAUGGAGGGUGAGAAUCCCGUACAUGGCUGCAGGCUUGCUUCUAUGUGAAACUCCUUCGAAGAGUCGAGUUGUUUGGGAAUGCAGCUCAAAAUGGGUGGUAAAUCUCAUCUAAAGCUAAAUAUUGGCGGGAGACCGAUAGCGCACAAGUAGAGUGAUCGAAAGAUGAAAAGCACUUUGAAAAGAGAGUUAAACAGUACGUGAAAUUGUUGAAAGGGAAGCGCUUGCAAUCAGACUUGCCUUCAGUUGAUCAGCCAUCCUUCUGGUUGGUGCACUCUGCUGUUGGCGGGCCAGCAUCAGUUGGGGCGGUGGGACAAAGGUGGCAGGAAUGUGGCUCGUUCGCGAGUGUUAUAGCCUGCUGCGCCAUGCCACCAGCCCCGACUGAGGUCCGCGGUUCGCCUAGGAUGCUGGCUUAAUGGUUGU